Long non-coding RNA from Callorhinus ursinus (northern fur seal), 3021 nucleotides. RefSeq lists it as uncharacterized. The record is from RefSeq and is a predicted model, not a curated record. Lineage: Eukaryota; Metazoa; Chordata; Mammalia; Carnivora; Otariidae.
UGCCUAACUGACUGAGCCACCCAGGUGCCCCAAAGUACUUACUUUUGAACCUUGGAUGCAGACUCUGGAUCAUCUUCCUGCCUUGGGGAGGAGCGUUUCCAUCCCUCUGCUCAGCGACUAAAAUCCUAUCUUCAGCUUCAGCUUCAGGCUUGACAAAGAGCAUCUCUGAAAUGACCCCAAGAAGGCAGGGAGAAAAGACCUGGCUUCCAGGCCACAGGUUCUCUCCUCUCUUCUCUGGGUUUGUGGAGCCUGAAGGGAUGAUAGGAGUCAAGAACCAGCCUUAAACUGUGGUCCUCAAAUGGACACUCUCCCCAUCCUUCCCUUGCUCCUGUAGCCAGCAGGGGAAGAACGAUGCAUGUGUGUUUCUGUUCAAGGAGACACUGAACAAUCCAUUUCUAACUGAUGAAUCAAUCCCAUGCUGCGAUGUCUUCAUUACCUGUUUGAAAAGUUCUCCAGGACCAGGCUGGCUAUCUAAGAUAGCAAGUUAUCUUACUUCGGGGCAAGAUACUUCUUGGCACUUAUGUCUGAGGUCUUUAUUUUUCAAGGAGGUGUCUUCAUUUGCUAAAAGACAAUGUCUUGGCUCAAAUGAACCAACUCAACAGUCACCUGCAUUCCUUGACAGACUAUUGCUUCCUAAUAUUGCCACACCUGGGGUGUGUGCUGGGGCCCUCAGUGUGCAGCAUGAAUAUCUUUAUCCAUUUAGGGUGAGGUGGUGGCUGCUUCUGCUAUACUCCCCACAGGUGGCUUGGCUCUUAAUCAAACUCCUUUUGAUUCACAUGGGAAGUCUUCUUCAGGAAUUCCUUCUAGCUGCUGAAAAGUAUACGUCUCGUCGCUGUGGGCAGCGUGAGUCUCAGAAAGUCUGGGGCUCAAAUUCGAACAGGAGGUUGUCAAUAAAACUGGGAAGUGUGAAUGUGUCAUAACUUGGCCAGGACCGGCUGCAAGGCAUGCUGGGACAUCAGAAGCAAGAGGCGUCUGGAAGAGGAUGAGCUGCUGGGGCUCAACUGGAGGGAACUUAUCCAGCUGCAAAGCCGGCCAUUGAUGGGAAAACUGAGACUCCAGGAGGCGAGGUGACCAGCACAUAAGGAUACAGGUGGAGUACAAGUCCAGCGCCUUCUAAUUCUCGAAUCUAACCUCUUCCCACAAAGCAACUUGAGAACGGCGGGCCCAGCUGAUACAAGGGAAGCCUAAUUGACCACUUGACUUUGGAUAUACAAUCACAGAGUUAAUUUUCCCUUCCUGAAAUUGCUGCACCUCUGAAUUGGCAUACCUGCUCAGCUACCCCCACUGCUGACCCUGGGAUUGUCUGGGCCGCUGCUGAGGUCCAGGCCUUGGCUGAAGAAGCAUUUACGUGGCACUGGCCCUGCAACCUUGGCUGAUGUUAGAACAGCAUCCCAUCAAUCCCAAAAUGGGAAGUCAGGAGAGGAAGUGGAUUAGGAAUGUGGGUAAUAGAACUGUUCGGGACAAACACAAUUAUUUUCAAGAUAGGGACAUUGAAGCUCGUUGUGAUUGUUCAGGAGUUCUGAGGAGUGGAUGGACCUAGAACUACUGCUCAGGAUUCUCAUGGUCUAGGUGUCUUUCUAGCAGACUCUGCUCCUUCCUCCCCAGCAUCUCAACUCUCAAUGGCAACCUCACCAUUUUCUGGAUGUAAGAUCUAUCCCGCUUUUAACCAGAGAAGGCCAGCAUUCAAGCAAUCAUAGGGACUGUUGUUCAUCAGUUCUUCAGUAGUUUGAACACCUACUGUUGUGAAUCUAGAGUGGAACCUCAAGUAAGGAAGAUAUGACCAGGACUCCUAAGUAGGUUUUGGUCAAACCAUUCAGUUUAGUUUAGCCCACAAUUACCAACUGCCUGCAGCACCUGCCCUGGAACUCCUCAGGGGCUUCUGAGACUUGGCUGCCAAUGCAAAACCCUUCAUGUGUAACUUGGCACAUGGUGGGCAGUCAAUAGAUCUAACUAGGUCCCUUCUCCUUCUUCGGUCCAAAACUGUUAGCAGGUCUUGCUGGAGAAUGACAAUGCAUCUAUGCUAUGGAGAGAACCUCAGGAAAACAUCACCUGUCUUAGCGGUUGGGCCAUGGAUAAUGUAGGUGGAUGUUAUAAGCGGGACAGGAAGCCAGUGACAGAGCACAGAGUCCAUUUAGCGGCUGCUGGUGGCUGGAAGGUGGGUAAAACAUCACAUUAUGGGUGCAAGCUGAAGAUCAAUGUGCCUGCCCUCAGCGAACACAGUCAGAGAGGCUCUUAACCUCUUGGGGGAAAUGGGCAAAGUGUGGAAAUAUUACAUAACUUUGAGCAUCUUCCCAGAAAAAUACUGAAAACUUUGCAUAUAGUUUUGGAGAAAUAUUUGCACCCCUCCCCCAUUCCGAUCCCAAGCAAAGACUCUAGGCUCAGAAUAUACUGGAAGCAGACUCUAGCAAUUCCAAAGUGUGCAUUCCCUGUAAAGGAAAUGGUGCCAAGUGUUCUGCUGGAACCCUCAGGAAAAUACGUAAGUGCUGCUGGUGGAAAUCACCUGUUCCAUGUUGGCUGCUGCUUCGGAAUUUAGAAGGAUGACGUGCAGAACAUCAGUCAAUCAGAAGGAUUCAGGACAUUCAUCCAGGCACACGGGCAACUUCUGAGUGACUGCACAGCCCAACGGGGUUGUGCAGGGCUAUGUGUCCUUUCUGUGGAGUUGAAGCAACUCUCCAUGGGCUUUGCAGGGCAAGCCAGGGACAAGGGGUCAUUCCCUUUGAAGGAGAGAUGUGUACAGAAAGUAUGCAGGAGAGUGAGAGCCUGCAUAUUGUAUAGUAUUUCCUUAUUUGUUUUCAACCUAAAUCAGAAAGAUAUUUCUUGGGAUUGGCAGAGUUGCUAAGACAGAAUUUUUUUUUAAGUUAAGAUUUAAGCAUUACAGGGAAUUUCGGGGUGCUGGGGUGCUGUAUUUCUGGAUUUGGAUGCUGGUUGCGUGAGUGUGCUCAGUUGUGAUAUUCAGUGAGCUUACACUAUGUAUGUAAGUUCUACUUUUCUAUAGGUCUAUUAUGCUUCUAUAUAUAAACA